GUCCCUGUAGCUCAGUGGAUAGAGCGCCAGCCUCCGGAGCUGGAAGCGGCGGUUCGAGUCCGCCCAGGGACG
RNAcentral lists this transfer RNA (72 nucleotides) under Chloroflexota bacterium. RNAcentral describes it as "Chloroflexi bacterium (anaerobic digester metagenome) tRNA-Arg". It matches the Rfam family "tRNA". Rfam says of the family: Transfer RNA (tRNA) molecules are approximately 80 nucleotides in length. Their secondary structure includes four short double-helical elements and three loops (D, anti-codon, and T loops). Further hydrogen bonds mediate the characteristic L-shaped molecular structure. tRNAs have two regions of fundamental functional importance: the anti-codon, which is responsible for specific mRNA codon recognition, and the 3' end, to which the tRNAs corresponding amino acid is attached (by aminoacyl-tRNA synthetases). tRNAs cope with the degeneracy of the genetic code in two manners: having more than one tRNA (with a specific anti-codon) for a particular amino acid; and 'wobble' base-pairing, i.e. permitting non-standard base-pairing at the 3rd anti-codon position. The record is from RNAcentral. Lineage: Bacteria; Bacillati; Chloroflexota.